RNAcentral lists this ribosomal RNA (587 nucleotides) under uncultured bacterium. RNAcentral's name for it is "bacterial SSU rRNA". It matches the Rfam family "Bacterial small subunit ribosomal RNA", at positions 339 to 916 of the family's 1533-position model. The record is from RNAcentral.
CUACGGGAGGCAGCAGUGGGGAAUUUUGGACAAUGGGCGAAAGCCUGAUCCAGCCAUGCCGCGUGAGUGAAGAAGGCCUUCGGGUUGUAAAGCUCUUUCGGCCGGGAAGAAAUCGCACAGGCUAAUACCCUGUGUGGAUGACGGUACCGGAAUAAGAAGCACCGGCUAACUACGUGCCAGCAGCCGCGGUAAUACGUAGGGUGCGAGCGUUAAUCGGAAUUACUGGGCGUAAAGCGUGCGCAGGCGGUUUUUUAAGACAGGCGUGAAAUCCCCGGGCUUAACCUGGGAACUGCGCUUGUGACUGGAAGGCUAGAGUACGGCAGAGGGGGGUGGAAUUCCACGUGUAGCAGUGAAAUGCGUAGAGAUGUGGAGGAACACCGAUGGCGAAGGCAGCCCCCUGGGCCGAUACUGACGCUCAUGCACGAAAGCGUGGGGAGCAAACAGGAUUAGAUACCCUGGUAGUCCACGCCCUAAACGAUGUCAACUAGGUGUUGGGGUGGGUAAAACCAUUUAGUACCGGAGCUAACGCGUGAAGUUGACCGCCUGGGGAGUACGGCCGCAAGGUUAAAACUCAAAGGAAUUGACGG